GGCUAUGAAUGAGCAUUUACGGGGACUCAUAAUCCCUUGGUCGCUGGUUCGAGUCCAGCCAGACCCA
RNAcentral lists this transfer RNA (67 nucleotides) under Nitrosomonas ureae. RNAcentral describes it as "tRNA_Met_CAT". It matches the Rfam family "tRNA". Rfam says of the family: Transfer RNA (tRNA) molecules are approximately 80 nucleotides in length. Their secondary structure includes four short double-helical elements and three loops (D, anti-codon, and T loops). Lineage: Bacteria; Pseudomonadati; Pseudomonadota; Betaproteobacteria; Nitrosomonadales; Nitrosomonadaceae. The record is from RNAcentral.